AAUGGGUCAGCGACUUAUAUUCUGUAGCAAGGUUAACCGUAUAGGGGAGCCGCAGGGAAACCGAGUCUUAAUUGGGCGUUAAGUUGCAGGGUAUAGACCCGAAACCCGGUGAUCUAGCCAUGGGCAGGUUGAAGGUUGGGUAACACUAACUGGAGGACCGAACCGACUAAUGUUGAAAAAUUAGCGGAUGACCUGUGGCUGGGGGUGAAAGGCCAAUCAAACCGGGAGAUAGCUGGUUCUCCCCGAAAGCUAUUUAGGUAGCGCCUCGUGAAUUCAUCUCCGGGGGUAGAGCACUGUUUCGGCUAGGGGGCCAUCCCGGCUUACCAACCCGAUGCAAACUGCGAAUACCGGAGAAUGUUAUCACGGGAGACACACGGCGGGUGCUAACGUCCGUCGUGAAGAGGGAAACAACCCAGACCGCCAGCUAAGGUCCCAAAGUCAUGGUUAAGUGGGAAACGAUGUGGGAAGGCCCAGACAGCCAGGAUGUUGGCUUAGAAGCAGCCAUCAUUUAAAGAAAGCGUAAUAGCUCACUGGUCGAGUCGGCCUGCGCGGAAGAUGUAACGGGGCUAAACCAUGCACCGAAGCUGCGGCAGCGACGCUUAUGCGUUGCUGGGUAGGGGAGCGUUCUGUAAGCCUGCGAAGGUGGCCUGUGAGGGUUGCUGGAGGUAUCAGAAGUGCGAAUGCUGACAUAAGUAACGAUAAAGCGGGUGAAAAGCCCGCUCGCCGGAAGACCAAGGGUUCCUGUCCAACGUUAAUCGGGGCAGGGUGAGUCGACCCCUAAGGCGAGGCCGAAAGGCGUAGUCGAUGGGAAACGGGUUAAUAUUCCCGUACUUGGUGUUACUGCGAAGGGGGGACGGAGAAGGCUAUGUUGGCCGGGCGACGGUUGUCCCGGUUUAAGCGUGUAGGUGUGUGUUCCAGGUAAAUCCGGUUCACUUUAACACUGAGGCGUGACGACGAGGCACUACGGUGCUGAAGCAACAAAUGCCCUGCUUCCAGGAAAAGCCUCUAAGCAUCAGGUAACAUCAAAUCGUACCCCAAACCGACACAGGUGGUCAGGUAGAGAAUACCAAGGCGCUUGAGAGAACUCGGGUGAAGGAACUAGGCAAAAUGGUGCCGUAACUUCGGGAGAAGGCACGCUGACACGUAGGUGAAGUGAUUUACUCAUGGAGCUGAAGUCAGUCGAAGAUACCAGCUGGCUGCAACUGUUUAUUAAAAACACAGCACUGUGCAAACACGAAAGUGGACGUAUACGGUGUGACGCCUGCCCGGUGCCGGAAGGUUAAUUGAUGGGGUCAGCGCAAGCGAAGCUCCUGAUCGAAGCCCCGGUAAACGGCGGCCGUAACUAUAACGGUCCUAAGGUAGCGAAAUUCCUUGUCGGGUAAGUUCCGACCUGCACGAAUGGCGUAAUGAUGGCCAGGCUGUCUCCACCCGAGACUCAGUGAAAUUGAACUCGCUGUGAAGAUGCAGUGUACCCGCGGCAAGACGGAAAGACCCCGUGAACCUUUACUAUAGCUUGACACUGAACACUGGUCCUUGAUGUGUAGGAUAGGUGGGAGGCUUUGAAGUGUGGACGCCAGUCUGCAUGGAGCCAUCCUUGAAAUACCACCCUUUAAUGGCUGGUGUUCUAACGU
This 1631-nucleotide ribosomal RNA is filed under the name Salmonella enterica subsp. enterica serovar Mississippi. RNAcentral describes it as "partial 23S ribosomal RNA". It matches the Rfam family "Bacterial large subunit ribosomal RNA", at positions 614 to 2228 of the family's 2925-position model. The record is from RNAcentral. Lineage: Bacteria; Pseudomonadati; Pseudomonadota; Gammaproteobacteria; Enterobacterales; Enterobacteriaceae.